RNAcentral lists this ribosomal RNA (723 nucleotides) under Triticum aestivum (bread wheat). Its description in RNAcentral is "partial small subunit ribosomal RNA". The record is from RNAcentral. Lineage: Eukaryota; Viridiplantae; Streptophyta; Magnoliopsida; Poales; Poaceae.
AUGUUGCCAAAAAGUGGCAGGCUACUUCUCAUACAAUCUGUCUUAUGCGCCAUCCCCGUCCACUCAAUGCUAGCACUGCAGCUGCCUUUAAAAACCCUAUCAGCCCUGGUCAAAAUCUGUCGAGGAUUCCUAUGGUGCGGCAAGAAAGAAGCGCGAGGUGGAAACUGUGCGGUAGCUUGGGAGGUGGUCUGCACGCCGAAAUGGGCCGGUGGCCUAGGAAUAUUGAAUCUUCACUAGCUGAACAAGGCACUACAAGCACGGUGGCCAUGGUUGCAAAAGGUGGAUAAGGAUAGACCAUGGGCGGAGUUCCAAAUCGAUGUUCCACAGGAAGCUCACGCUCUAGUCCAGGCGGCCGCACGCACGACGGUCGGCGGCGGGAGAUCCACACUGUUUUGGGAGGAUCGAUGGAUUAACGGACUCCGAAUUUGCGAGAUAACACCAGAUGUUUAUAACAAGAUCCCCAGGAGAAUCAGAAGAAGCAGACUGGUGGCAGAUGCACCCGUAGAGAGCAACUGGGCAGGAGAUAUUGGCCCUGACAUUACCCAAGCGACCUUGGGCCAGUUUCUGCGACUAUGGCCGCUGAUCACAGCCUGGCAGCUAAUGGAUGGGGUGGAAGAUUCGGUCGCUUGGGCUUGGGAAGCGAAUGGCAACUUCUCGUCCCGCUCAGUUUAUGCGGCCAGGUUAAUGGGACUCGAGCUAUCCUCAGUGGCAUCUUUCACCUGA